GAUGAACGCUGGCGGCGUGCUUAACACAUGCAAGUCGAGCGAAGCACUUAAGUUUGAUUCUUCGGAUGAAGACUUUUGUGACUGAGCGGCGGACGGGUGAGUAACGCGUGGGUAACCUGCCUCAUACAGGGGGAUAACAGUUAGAAAUGACUGCUAAUACCGCAUAAGACCACGGUACCGCAUGGUACAGUGGUAAAAACUCCGGUGGUAUGAGAUGGACCCGCGUCUGAUUAGGUAGUUGGUGGGGUAACGGCCUACCAAGCCGACGAUCAGUAGCCGACCUGAGAGGGUGACCGGCCACAUUGGGACUGAGACACGGCCCAGACUCCUACGGGAGGCAGCAGUGGGGAAUAUUGCACAAUGGAGGAAACUCUGAUGCAGCGACGCCGCGUGAAGGAUGAAGUAU
Molecule: ribosomal RNA, 406 nt
Filed under: uncultured bacterium
Lineage: Bacteria
Description: bacterial SSU rRNA
Rfam family: Bacterial small subunit ribosomal RNA
Source: RNAcentral